CUGCACCAUCGACCGACCAUGAUCUUCUGUGAAAGGUUUGAGUAAGAGCAUGCCUGUUGGGACCCGAAAGAUGGUGAACUAUGCCUGAGCAGGGCGAAGCCAGAGGAAACUCUGGUGGAGGCUCGUAGAUGUGCUGACGUGCAAAUCGCUUUUCGGACUUGGGUAUAGGGGCGAAAGACUACUAGUAGCUGGUUCCCUCCGAAGUUUCCCCCAGGAUAGCUGGAGCUUGUGCAGUUUUAUCGGGUAAAGCGAAUGAUUAGAGGUACCGGGGAUGAAACAUCCUCGACCUAUUCUCAAACUUUAAAUAGGUAAGACGUACAGUGAGUGUACUUAAUUGAACCGUGGCAGUCAAUGAGAGCUCCAAGUGGGCCAUU
Molecule: ribosomal RNA, 374 nt
Filed under: Asterochloris excentrica
Lineage: Eukaryota; Viridiplantae; Chlorophyta; Trebouxiophyceae; Trebouxiales; Trebouxiaceae
Description: eukaryotic LSU rRNA
Rfam family: Eukaryotic large subunit ribosomal RNA
Source: RNAcentral